Molecule: ribosomal RNA, 252 nt
Filed under: uncultured bacterium
Lineage: Bacteria
Description: partial 16S ribosomal RNA
Rfam family: Bacterial small subunit ribosomal RNA
Source: RNAcentral
UACGAAGGGGACUAGCGUUGUUCGGAAUUACUGGGCGUAAAGCGCACGUAGGCGGAUUUGUUAGUCAGGGGUGAAAUCCUGGAGCUCAACUCCAGAACUGCCUUCGAUACUGGGAGCUCGAGUCCGGGAGAGGUGAGUGGAACUGCGAGUGUAGAGGUGAAAUUCGUAGAUAUUCGCAAGAACACCAGUGGCGAAGGCGGCUCACUGGCCCGGUACUGACGCUGAGGUGCGAAAGCGUGGGGAGCAAACAGG